UGGAGAAAAGCAGGGGAUCGCAAGACCUUGCGCUUUUGGAGUGGCCGAUGCCUGAUUAGCUAGUUGGUGGGGUAAGAGCCUACCAAGGCGACGAUCAGUAGUUGGUCUGAGAGGACGACCAGCCACACUGGGACUGAGACACGGCCCAGACUCCUACGGGAGGCAGCAGUGGGGAAUUUUGGACAAUGGGCGAAAGCCUGAUCCAGCAAUGCCGCGUGAGUGAAGAAGGCCUUCGGGUUGUAAAGCUCUUUCAGUCGAGAAGAAAAGGUCGCGACUAAUAAUCGCGACUCAUGACGGUAUCGACAGAAGAAGCACCGGCUAACUACGUGCCAGCAGCCGCGGUAAUACGUAGGGUGCGAGCGUUAAUCGGAAUUACUGGGCGUAAAGGGUGCGCAGGCGGCUUUGUAAGUCAGAUGUGA
This 419-nucleotide ribosomal RNA is filed under the name uncultured ammonia-oxidizing beta proteobacterium. Its description in RNAcentral is "bacterial SSU rRNA". It matches the Rfam family "Bacterial small subunit ribosomal RNA", at positions 197 to 597 of the family's 1533-position model. The record is from RNAcentral. Lineage: Bacteria; Pseudomonadati; Pseudomonadota; Betaproteobacteria.